Molecule: long non-coding RNA, 524 nt
Filed under: Cricetulus griseus (Chinese hamster)
Lineage: Eukaryota; Metazoa; Chordata; Mammalia; Rodentia; Cricetidae
Description: lncRNA (ENSCGRG00015040442.1)
Source: RNAcentral
CUCUUAUAUACUCCCACAAACAAGUGCAGCUCCCCAACUAGACACGUCCAGACACGAUGGCUUUUGUGUUCUAAGAUGAUCAGACACCAUUGCUUCCACUAGGAUGGCGCUGUGCCCCACUGGAGAGUGAGAUCUGGGGUGAGCAACAGUCACAGAAACGGCAGGUUUCUGCCGGGUGUAGCAAUGCCAGGACAACCCGAGGCAUGUGGCACAGGGGCCAGGCAGGAUGGGAGAGGCGGCUAUCCUGGAAUCUGACUUCAGGAGAGAUGCUAAUAGACUCCCCAGAGUCACUGCCAAGGACUAUGCUGCCUAAGACUGAAUAGCCGCUCAGCCUCUGCUACCAGAGCAACCAGCACCCACAGCCGGGCAUAGAGACGGAGCUGCUCAGCUCAAGGCUACCAGUCUGCUGACCUUUACAGAGACAGGCUCUUCGGGAACACUCUCACUUUUGACUCUCACCAAAGGAUGCCCCUUUGCUUCCUGUAAAAACAAGAGGAUGGAAUAACUUGAUUUCAAAUAACACU